AGCGCCGAAUUUGCUAACAAGGUUGGUCGAUUUUUUCAAGCCGUCGCGCAGUGUACCUAGAAGUACACGAGCAACGGAAGUUAAAAAAUCGGGCAAGAUUGAACGCAAAGGAAAGCGGGACAUUUGAGGAUGGGGUGACUGCGUACCUUUUGUAUAAUGGGUCAGCGACUUAUAUUCUGUAGCAAGGUUAACCGUAUAGGGGAGCCGUAGGGAAACCGAGUCUUAACUGGGCGAAUGAGU
This 240-nucleotide ribosomal RNA is filed under the name Proteus mirabilis. Its description in RNAcentral is "partial 23S ribosomal RNA". The stretch from base 114 to 240 matches the Rfam family "Bacterial large subunit ribosomal RNA", at positions 572 to 700 of the family's 2925-position model. The record is from RNAcentral. Lineage: Bacteria; Pseudomonadati; Pseudomonadota; Gammaproteobacteria; Enterobacterales; Morganellaceae.